UACGUAGGGGGCAAGCGUUAUCCGGAUUUACUGGGUGUAAAGGGAGCGUAGACGGCACUGCAAGUCUGGAGUGAAAGCCCGAGGCCCAACCACGGGACUGCUCUGGAAACUGCGGGGCUGGAGUGCAGGAGGGGUAAGCGGAAUUCCUAGUGUAGCGGUGAAAUGCGUAGAUAUUAGGAGGAACACCGGUGGCGAAGGCGGCUUACCAAGCUACUUCUGACGUUGAGGCACGAAAGCGUGGGGAGCAAACAGG
RNAcentral lists this ribosomal RNA (253 nucleotides) under uncultured Eubacteriales bacterium. Its description in RNAcentral is "uncultured Clostridiales bacterium partial 16S ribosomal RNA". It matches the Rfam family "Bacterial small subunit ribosomal RNA", at positions 524 to 776 of the family's 1533-position model. Lineage: Bacteria; Bacillati; Bacillota; Clostridia; Eubacteriales. The record is from RNAcentral.